GAUGAACGCUAGCGGGAGGCUUAACACAUGCAAGUCGAGGGGUAGGGGAGCAAUCCCCGAGACCGGCGGACGGGUGCGUAACGCGUAUGCAACUUGCCUUAUACAGGGGGAUAGCCCGUGGAAACGCGGAUUAAUACCCCAUAUGUCAUUUGGGUCGCAUGGUCUGGAUGAUAAAACUGAGGUGGUAUAAGAUGGGCAUGCGUCUGAUUAGCUAGUUGGUAAGGUAACGGCUUACCAAGGCGACGAUCAGUAGGGGUUCUGAGAGGAUAAUCCCCCACACUGGUACUGAGACACGGACCAGACUCCUACGGGAGGCAGCAGUGAGGAAUAUUGGUCAAUGGGCGCGAGCCUGAACCAGCCAUUCCGCGUGAAGGAAGAAGGCCUUAUGGGUUGUAAACUUCUUUUCUGUAAGAAGAAAAGUCCCGACGUGUCGGGAUGUGACGGUAUUAUAGGAAUAAGCAUCGGCUAACUCCGUGCCAGCAGCCGCGGUAAACGGAGAGUA
Molecule: ribosomal RNA, 502 nt
Filed under: uncultured bacterium
Lineage: Bacteria
Description: bacterial SSU rRNA
Rfam family: Bacterial small subunit ribosomal RNA
Source: RNAcentral